ACCUCCCACAAAGGCGCACUUGCAUUGGCUGGCUUGCAAGUGCGUAACGACUGGAGGAACAUUAACCUGAAUGGAGAUGUUUGUGUUGCUUGCUGUUUGAGCAGUUGAGAUAUCAACAUUCAUACAAAC
This is a small nucleolar RNA of Seriola dumerili (greater amberjack), 129 nucleotides long. Lineage: Eukaryota; Metazoa; Chordata; Actinopteri; Carangiformes; Carangidae. The record is from Ensembl.